UAGCACUUCUACUCUCAGAAAACUGCGUGGU
This 31-nucleotide non-coding RNA is filed under the name Rattus norvegicus (Norway rat). The record is from RNAcentral. Lineage: Eukaryota; Metazoa; Chordata; Mammalia; Rodentia; Muridae.